CUCAGGUGUUGUUGGGUAGGGGAGCGUUCUGUAAGCCUGUGAAGGUGGCCUGUGAGGGUUGCUGGAGGUAUCAGAAGUGCGAAUGCUGACAUAAGUAACGAUAAAGCGGGUGAAAAGCCCGCUCGCCGGAAGACCAAGGGUUCCUGUCCAACGUUAAUCGGGGCAGGGUGAGUCGACCCCUAAGGCGAGGCCGAAAGGCGUAGUCGAUGGGAAACGGGUUAAUAUUCCCGUACUUGGUGUUACUGCGAAGGGGGGACGGAGAAGGCUAUGUUGGCCGGGCGACGGUUGUCCCGGUUUAAGCGUGUAGGCUGGUUUUCCAGGCAAAUCCGGAAAAUCAAGGCUGAGGCGUGACGACGAGGCACUACGGUGCUGAAGCAACAAAUGCCCUGCUUCCAGGAAAAGCCUCUAAGCAUCAGGUAACAUCAAAUCGUACCCCAAACCGACACAGGUGGUCAGGUAGAGAAUACCAAGGCGCUUGAGAGAACUCGGGUGAAGGAACUAGGCAAAAUGGUGCCGUAACUUCGGGAGAAGGCACGCUGACACGUAGGUGAAGUGAUUUACUCAUGGAGCUGAAGUCAGUCGAAGAUACCAGCUGGCUGCAACUGUUUAUUAAAAACACAGCACUGUGCAAACACGAAAGUGGACGUAUACGGUGUGACGCCUGCCCGGUGCCGGAAGGUUAAUUGAUGGGGUCAGCGCAAGCGAAGCUCCUGAUCGAAGCCCCGGUAAACGGCGGCCGUAACUAUAACGGUCCUAAGGUAGCGAAAUUCCUUGUCGGGUAAGUUCCGACCUGCACGAAUGGCGUAAUGAUGGCCAGGCUGUCUCCACCCGAGACUCAGUGAAAUUGAACUCGCUGUGAAGAUGCAGUGUACCCGCGGCAAGACGGAAAGACCCCGUGAACCUUUACUAUAGCUUGACACUGAACAUUGAGCCUUGAUGUGUAGGAUAGGUGGGAGGCUUUGAAGUGUGGACGCCAGUCUGCAUGGAGCCGACCUUGAAAUACCACCCUUUAAUGUUUGAUGUUCUAACGUGGACCCGUGAUCCGGGUUGCGGACAGUGUCUGGUGGGUAGUUUGACUGGGGCGGUCUCCUCCUAAAGAGUAACGGAGGAGCACGAAGGUUGGCUAAUCCUGGUCGGACAUCAGGAGGUUAGUGCAAUGGCAUAAGCCAGCUUGACUGCGAGCGUGACGGCGCGAGCAGGUGCGAAAGCAGGUCAUAGUGAUCCGGUGGUUCUGAAUGGAAGGGCCAUCGCUCAACGGAUAAAAGGUACUCCGGGGAUAACAGGCUGAUACCGCCCAAGAGUUCAUAUCGACGGCGGUGUUUGGCACCUCGAUGUCGGCUCAUCACAUCCUGGGGCUGAAGUAGGUCCCAAGGGUAUGGCUGUUCGCCAUUUAAAGUGGUACGCGAGCUGGGUUUAGAACGUCGUGAGACAGUUCGGUCCCUAUCUGCCGUGGGCGCUGGAGAACUGAGGGGGGCUGCUCCUAGUACGAGAGGACCGGAGUGGACGCAUCACUGGUGUUCGGGUUGUCAUGCCAAUGGCACUGCCCGGUAGCUAAAUGCGGAAGAGAUAAGUGCUGAAAGCAUCUAAGCACGAAACUUGCCCCGA
Molecule: ribosomal RNA, 1605 nt
Filed under: Salmonella enterica subsp. enterica serovar Reading
Lineage: Bacteria; Pseudomonadati; Pseudomonadota; Gammaproteobacteria; Enterobacterales; Enterobacteriaceae
Description: partial 23S ribosomal RNA
Rfam family: Bacterial large subunit ribosomal RNA
Source: RNAcentral